Molecule: ribosomal RNA, 253 nt
Filed under: uncultured bacterium
Lineage: Bacteria
Description: partial 16S ribosomal RNA
Rfam family: Bacterial small subunit ribosomal RNA
Source: RNAcentral
GACGAAGGACCCGAGCGUUAUCCGGAUUUAUUGGGUUUAAAGGGUGCGUAGGCGGCUUGAUAAGUCAGUGGUGAAAGCCUGCAGCUUAACUGCGGAAUUGCCAUUGAUACUGUCGAGCUUGAAUAUGGUUGAAGUGGGCGGAAUAUGACAUGUAGCGGUGAAAUGCUUAGAUAUGUCAUAGAACACCGAUUGCGAAGGCAGCUCACUAAGCCAUUAUUGACGCUGAGGCACGAAAGCGUGGGGAUCAAACAGG